RNAcentral lists this ribosomal RNA (462 nucleotides) under uncultured bacterium. RNAcentral's name for it is "bacterial SSU rRNA". It matches the Rfam family "Bacterial small subunit ribosomal RNA", at positions 340 to 786 of the family's 1533-position model. The record is from RNAcentral.
UACGGAAGGCAGCAGUGGGGAAUAUUGCACAAUGGGCGCAAGCCUGAUGCAGCCAUGCCGCGUGUAUGAAGAAGGCCUUCGGGUUGUAAAGUACUUUCAGUCGUGAGGAAGGUGUUAAGGUUAAUAACCUUAGCAAUUGACGUUAGCGACAGAAGAAGCACCGGCUAACUCCGUGCCAGCAGCCGCGGUAAUACGGAGGGUGCGAGCGUUAAUCGGAAUUACUGGGCGUAAAGGGCACGCAGGCGGUUAAUUAAGUUGGAUGUGAAAUCCCCGGGCUUAACCUGGGAAUGGCAUUCAAGACUGGUUAGCUAGAGUCUUGUAGAGGGGGUAGAAUUCCAUGUGUAGCGGUGAAAUGCGUAGAGAUGUGGAGGAAAUACCGGGUGGGCGAAAGGCGGGCCCCCUGGGACAAAAGGACUGACGCUCAUGUGCGAAAGCGUGGGGAGCAAACAGGGAUUAGAUACC